CACACACACCCGGCGCGCACAGACACACGCUUCCUCCCUCCGCGCUCUACCCCUCGCCCGCCCGCCGCGCACGCAGCCGGCCCCGGCUCCCCGCUCCCCGCGCCCCGCGCCCCGCGCCCAGCGCUCGGCGCCCCGCGCCCCGCCACCGCCGCCGCCGCCGCCGCCGAGCAAAGCCAGGCUGGGCUUGGAGCUCCUCAUGGAGAAAGUGGCAGGGGAGAUGGAGAUCGAGCGCAGGGAGCGGAGCGAGGAGCUGUCCGAGGCGGAGAGGAAGGCGGUGCAGGCUACGUGGGCCCGGCUCUAUGCCCACUGCGAGGACGUGGGGGUGGCCAUCCUGGUGAGGUUCUUUGUGAACUUCCCCUCAGCCAAGCAAUACUUCAGCCAGUUCAAGCACAUGGAGGAUCCCCUGGAGAUGGAGCGGAGCCCCCAGCUGCGGAAGCACGCCUGCAGGGUCAUGGGAGCCCUCAACACUGUGGUGGAGAACCUGCACGACCCCGACAAGGUGUCCUCUGUGCUUGCCCUCGUGGGGAAGGCCCACGCCCUCAAACACAAGGUGGAGCCCGUGUACUUCAAGAUCCUCUCUGGGGUCAUUCUGGAGGUGAUCGCCGAGGAAUUUGCCAAUGACUUCCCACCUGAGACGCAGAGAGCCUGGGCCAAGCUGCGUGGCCUCAUCUACAGCCACGUGACCGCUGCCUACAAGGAAGUGGGCUGGGUGCAGCAGGUCCCCAACGCCACCACAGAAAAAGAUCCAGAGUUCCCAUGGGCCAACAGACUUACCUGAGAUCACGGCAGGUUCGGAGCAGGACACAGACUGGAACUUGGCUCUCACAGUUGCUUUCAACCACACUGUGCCCGGUCUCCUGGCAGGAACCCACCAGCCACACUGCCCUCUUCGGGGCCGUAGGACCCCUCCCUCCACCCCCCUCCCUGGCAGCACCUUGAGCAGAAGGCCGAGUUCUGAAGACCCUCCUUGACAACCAAGGAAGCUGGAGGAAUCCCUGACUCGACUUCCCCGAAGGAGGCCUCUGCGGCAGCCACAGCCCCCCCCGGAGCUGCUGGGAGGCAGCGCUGGCUGCCUGGAUGCUGACCCCAGUGUGGUGGGCGGGUGGGGGACCCUUCCUCCUCGCAGAGCGGGGCCCACUCUUCUUAGCUUUUCUACUCACUGUUAGAGAGAGACCUAGCUGUGCGGCUGGCGGGGCUCGGGACAGGUCUAGGAGUCCCUUGGGGAAUAAACCAGCCCCAUUUCUAUCAGCCCGGACGGCACGCAGGUCUCCACAUCACCAUCUAGAGUAUCACGCACACAUCUACCAUAAAUACAGAUAUAUUCUAUAUAUGAGCUAUAUAUAAAUAUAUAUAUAUACAUAUAUAUACACGCGUACAUAUCUAGAAUGUGUAUCUGCGGGGCCCAGAAGCCUCAGUUCUGCCCACCUGUGAGUGGGGCAAGGAGGAGUUCCCGUUGUGCAGAGAACAGAGUGUUCUGGCAGAAAGGCAGUCCCACAGCGGUGCAGAGGACCUGGGCCUGGAGGGGCAGGGCUGGGGCAACCUGGCUUGGCAGCAAAGCCCAGCCCCUUCUCAGACCAGCUCCCCACAUUCCUGCAUUCCACUUCCAGGCAGAAAGGAAGGGGCUCCCCCUACUCCCCGAGAGGAACUGACUCACCAAUUGCCCGAGAAUGGGCAGGGGCAGAGUGAAGUUCUGGACAGACUGACCGCACUGGGGGAAGGGCCUCAGUCCAGAAACUUGCACUGCCAGCUCCACCUGCCUUGGCCACCAGAGCAGCCCCAGGGGAUCCGGGCUGCUGGGCAGCAGGUCGGUGGGACCACGUCCCUGGGUCUCACCCUCAGUUCUGAGGGCUGAGGGCCUUCCCCACCCCAUCCUCCUCCUGGCCAGCGGUUGGCCCUGUCUAUUCAUCUACGUCAGCCUUGUCGGGGGAGGGGGACCCCCCCCAUGUGUGCCCCUUGGUCACAUGUAUUGUCUUCAAGGAUGUUUUGCUGCUGUGGCUACUAUGUCUGUGUCCCCUCCUAUCCCAUCUUCAGGCCGUCAUCUGUGUAACUGCCUGUCUUCCUUUUCUAGUUACUGAUGUUUGUAACCAGACCCAGCUGUGUCAUUAAACAGACCCAUUCUUGCUGUA
RNA transcript from Callithrix jacchus (white-tufted-ear marmoset), 2126 nucleotides. It is a transcript of the gene named cytoglobin, with no coding region annotated. The record is from RefSeq and is a predicted model, not a curated record. Lineage: Eukaryota; Metazoa; Chordata; Mammalia; Primates; Cebidae.